GAUGAACGCUGGCGGCGUGCCUAAUACAUGCAAGUCGAGCGAACAGACGAGGAGCUUGCUCCUCUGACGUUAGCGGCGGACGGGUGAGUAACACGUGGAUAACCUACCUAUAAGACUGGGAUAACUUCGGGAAACCGGCGCUAAUACCGGAUAAUAUAUUGAACCGCAUGGUUCAAUAGUGAAAGACGGUUUUGCUGUCACUUAUAGAUGGAUCCGCGCCGCAUUAGCUAGUUGGUAAGGUAACGGCUUACCAAGGCAACGAUGCGUAGCCGACCUGAGAGGGUGAUCGGCCACACGGGAACUGAGACACGGUCCAGACUCCUACGGGAGGCAGCAGUAGGGAAUCUUCCGCAAUGGGCGAAAGCCUGACGGAGCAACGCCGCGUGAGUGAUGAAGGUCUUCGGAUCGUAAAACUCUGUUAUUAGGGAAGAACAAAUGUGUAAGUAACUAUGCACGUCUUGACGGUACCUAAUCAGAAAGCCACGGCUAACUACGUG
RNAcentral lists this ribosomal RNA (497 nucleotides) under uncultured bacterium. RNAcentral describes it as "partial 16S ribosomal RNA". It matches the Rfam family "Bacterial small subunit ribosomal RNA", at positions 28 to 507 of the family's 1533-position model. The record is from RNAcentral.